Molecule: ribosomal RNA, 253 nt
Filed under: uncultured bacterium
Lineage: Bacteria
Description: partial 16S ribosomal RNA
Rfam family: Bacterial small subunit ribosomal RNA
Source: RNAcentral
GACAGAGGGUGCAAACGUUGUUCGGAAUUACUGGGCGUAAAGCGCGUGUAGGCUGCCCCGCAAGUCGGAUGUGAAAGCCCUGGGCUCAACCUAGGAAGUGCAUUCGAAACUGCGGGGCUGGAGUCCUGGAGAGGAAGGCGGAAUUCUCGGUGUAGAGGUGAAAUUCGUAGAUAUCGAGAGGAACACCGGUGGCGAAGGCGGCCUUCUGGACCGACAUUGACGCUGAGGAGCGAAAGCCAGGGGAGCAAACGGG